Molecule: unclassified non-coding RNA, 202 nt
Filed under: uncultured Basidiomycota
Lineage: Eukaryota; Fungi; Basidiomycota
Description: sequence contains ITS1
Source: RNAcentral
UUGAAUAAACUUGAUGGGUUGUUGCUGGCUUUCCAGAAAGCAUGUGCACGCCUGUCAUCUUUAUCCAUCCACCUGUGCACCUUUUGUAGUCUUGGAGGUAACACGCGUGAAAACGCAAGUUUCUCCGAGUCUAUGUAUUUCAUAUAUACCACAAAUGUUUUUUGAAUGUUGUCAUUAGGUCUCAGUGCCUAUAAAACAAAUA